This 21-nucleotide non-coding RNA is filed under the name Caenorhabditis elegans. The record is from RNAcentral. Lineage: Eukaryota; Metazoa; Nematoda; Chromadorea; Rhabditida; Rhabditidae.
UAAUGAUUUUAUCUGAAAACC